CCUGGGAUAGCUCAGUCGGUAAAGCAUGAGACUCUUAAUCUCUGGGUCAUGGGUGAAAGAUUCCUGUACUAAGGU
This is a non-coding RNA of Podarcis lilfordi (Lilford's wall lizard), 75 nucleotides long. NCBI's taxonomy places the organism in Eukaryota, Metazoa, Chordata, Lepidosauria, Squamata, Lacertidae. The record is from the annotation of a GenBank genome assembly.